RNAcentral lists this ribosomal RNA (269 nucleotides) under uncultured prokaryote. RNAcentral's name for it is "partial 16S ribosomal RNA". It matches the Rfam family "Bacterial small subunit ribosomal RNA", at positions 524 to 792 of the family's 1533-position model. The record is from RNAcentral.
UACGUAGGAGGCAAGCGUUAUCCGGAUUUACUGGGCGUAAAGAGGACGUAGGCGGCCUUUCAAGUCGGGUGUAAAAUCUCCCAGCUUAACUGGGAGGGAUCAUUCGAUACUGUUGGGCUAGAGUGCAGCAGAGGGAGGUGGAAUUCCCGGUGGAGUGGUGAAAUGCGUAGAUAUCGGGAGGAACACCAGUGGCGAAAGCGACCUCCUGGGCUGUUACUGACGCUGAGGUCCGAAAGCGUGGGGAGCGAACAGGAUUAGAUACCCCCGUA